GGCGUACGGGUGAGUAACACGUGGGUAAUCUACCUUUGGGUGGGGAAUAACUCAGGGAAACUUGAGCUAAUACCGCAUAAUGCAGCGGCUCGACAUCGAGACAGUUGUUAAAGCAGCAAUGCGCCUAAAGAGGAGCCUGCGCCUGAUUAGCUAGUUGGUGAGGUAACGGCUCACCAAGGCUUCGAUCAGUAGCUGGUCUGAGAGGACGGCCAGCCACAAUGGCACUGAAACACGGGCCAUACUCCUACGGGAGGCAGCAGUGGGGAAUUCUGCGCAAUGGACGAAAGUCUGACGCAGCAACGCCGCGUGAAGGAUGAAAUCUUUC
RNAcentral lists this ribosomal RNA (325 nucleotides) under uncultured Pseudomonadota bacterium. RNAcentral describes it as "bacterial SSU rRNA". It matches the Rfam family "Bacterial small subunit ribosomal RNA", at positions 97 to 419 of the family's 1533-position model. The record is from RNAcentral. Lineage: Bacteria; Pseudomonadati; Pseudomonadota.